GGUUGAUCCUGCCAGUAGUCAUAUGCUUGUCCCAAAGAUUAAGCCAUGCAUGUCCAAGUAUAAACCAAUUUAUACGGUGAAACUGCGAAUGGCUCAUUAAAUCAGUUAUAAUUUAUUUGAUGGUCUCUUUACUACUUGGAUAACCGUGGUAAUUCUAGAGCUAAUACAUGCAAAAAGCCCGACUUCUGGAAGGGUUGUAUUUAUUAGAUAAAAAACCAAUGCUUCGGCUACUGGUGAUUCAUAAUAACUUUGCGGAUCGCAUGGCCUUGCGCCGGCGACGCUUCAUUCAAAUU
This 293-nucleotide ribosomal RNA is filed under the name uncultured eukaryote. RNAcentral's name for it is "partial 18S ribosomal RNA". It matches the Rfam family "Eukaryotic small subunit ribosomal RNA", at positions 6 to 305 of the family's 1831-position model. The record is from RNAcentral.